ACCCACAAACAGUUUAAAGAAAGUAUAUUUUAGGGUUAGAGUUCUGAAUUGGCUGAGAUGCACUAGUGAAAUGGCUAAUGGAACAAAUUCACAAGAUUAUAUUUGGUCUUACGAAUAUUAUGUGGGCUAUCUAGAUUUGGCAUCCGUUGAUGCAACAAAGCUGAAGGCACACAGAUAUUCAAUUGUCAUAGCCUUUUGGAUUGGUCUUGCUGCUUUUGUGGCAUUUCUCUUCUUCAUUUUGUUCUACAUCUCCCAAACUGGUUACACAUCAAUAAAGAAUGGAAGAUCACAGAAAAUGUUUCCAUGGAAUUAUUCAAAAAAUAAACAUCAGCAAAAUGUGGCUACUAACCAUGCUGAACCAACCCUUGCAGAAAACGAUGUGGAGGAAACAGAAGGUUCAAGAUUAAGUAAUGCACAGAAAUAGAAUGGCACAGACUGGUGGUAUAGGAGAAACUAUGGGAGGGAUGGGAAUGAGGAAGGAUUUAGAAAUUCUCCCUCUCUAGAUGUAAUUCUCACCUUCCUGGAUAUGAUAAUCCCUUAGGAGCUUAAGCAGACCCCCUCCACUGUUUUCCUUAGUCAGCUUGGAUUGGCAUGCUAGUCAGUUGAUCACUCUAUUACUGACAGUCUUGUUUUUGACCACAGUCAAAUGUUCCAAUCAAUCAAGAAUGUUGUGCAGAUUGUGCCAGUUUAUUCUCUGUACCUUGUUCUAGUGCCAUUUGUUAUCAAGGACAAACAUUUACUUGCCACCUAGCCCUGCAGCAGUCAUAGCCAAGUUACUCACCACCCGCUAUGACUGCAAGAAUUGGUCUGCUGCUGUUUGCUUAGCACAAUAAUCUUAUUUUUAAAAAAAAAAAUAGAGCUUUUUAGGUUUUAUUUCCAUGUUUCUUUCUUUUUUUAAAAUUGUACUUUCAGGAAAGGAGCCUAAUAGAACUUCUUCAACAAAGCAUGCACAUUUAUAGAAAUUUCAUCUAAAAGUGUUGAUUUUAUUAGCUUGAGUCCAUAUCUUGUUUUCCAAAACCACGUCAGCUGGCUUGACUAGGGGCAAGUUCUGCUGAUCUCCCUUGCCACUGCAAAUCCCUAGUUUUAGUGAAGAAUGCCCUAGUUUCAGUAGCCAAAUGAACUACUGCAGCUGAGGUAACUCAACGCUUCGUUAAUUACUAGUGAACAGAAGUUGAUACUAAGCAUUUUACACAUAAAUGCAUAUAUUUCUGUGUUUUAACAUCUUUUCUUCCAGCAAUACAGCCUUUCGAUUUUAAGCCCUAUGUAACAGGCUAGCACUCUGACAUUAAAGUAAUGCCACCUGUACAAGUAUAUCAAAGGAAAAUUGUUUUAAACAUUGUGUUUUGCCAUAUUUUAUUUUUAAAAAGCAUAUAAUACAUAUGUAUAAGGUCAAUAUCACAUUAUUAAAGACAUUAAUCAGAGUAGAGGACUCAACAUGGAUUAAAUACAUUAUAUCUGUACAUUGUUCUCUGUUCCCAAAUUAAAUAAUGCUGAGAAAUUAUAUUCUCCUGUAAUAACACCCAACUUGCAUGAUCAUCUAGAAGCUUUCUGUUUCUAUUGAAACAAUCAGAAUAUGUAAUACAGCCCAGCUCCUUAAUUCCCAAAAUAGCAGGAAUGAGAACUUUAUGGUAAUUUAUUCUCAUACUAAAUAACUCUCUUAAAGUGAAUGUUAACAUUUUGAGUGAUGUCAAGGAAGUCAAAAUCUCAUUUUAAAGUUGUUGGGUGUUCUGUACCAAUACUUCAUUUAUUAGUCCAUGCCACUUUGAUUUAAUACAGAAACAAUUAAUAUUAACUUUUUGAACUUUAAGACAAAAGCCUCUUGUUUUCCAGUAGUAAUACAUAAAACAGCCUUAACAUUUUAGUUUCUUACUCAAAAUCCGGCAUCGUUUUAAGGUUGCUCAAAGCUUACAUUUUGUACAGGACUAUUAAAAAAUUCCUUAGACUCUAUGUAGAUAGUUUAAAAAUAAUCACAAGUGGUUUCAGGCAUUUAAGACUUCAAGGAAUUGUGAAGAAUUAAGUACGAAUAAAUGUCUUUGCACAGCAAAA
Molecule: long non-coding RNA, 2046 nt
Organism: Heteronotia binoei (common prickly gecko)
Lineage: Eukaryota; Metazoa; Chordata; Lepidosauria; Squamata; Gekkonidae
Exons: 3
Source: RefSeq, a predicted model, not a curated record